AGUAUUUAUAUAUCCGGAGAAAGUUCUCUAGUAAAUUCUGGAGAUCUUCGGUAUUUAAAUGUCAACAUCGAUUUGUUUAUUUAUUGCUUAGCUUAUCAUAACUGACUCAAUAACAAAUCUAAUCAUGUUGUGCACUGAGAAAAUAUUCUCAUUAUGUAUUUU
This is a non-coding RNA of Tauraco erythrolophus (red-crested turaco), 162 nucleotides long. The record is from Rfam. NCBI's taxonomy places the organism in Eukaryota, Metazoa, Chordata, Aves, Musophagiformes, Musophagidae.